AAAAAAACAAAACAAAACAAAAUAACAACAACAACAACAACAAAAACCCAGAUCCUUUUUAUGUCCCUGGAUAUCUUGGAACUCACUAUGUAGACCAGGAUAGUCUUUUUUUUUUUUUUGUGCUCAUAUUUUAAUAAAAACGAUAUGGUUAUUUUAAAGAAAUGGGAAUACAAUUAUAAAAAAGAAAAUUAAAACAUUCUACCACAUAGGCAUAACAUAACAUUUGUUAUGUGAUUUUUCUUCUUCCUGUGGACAGACAUUAGGAUAUGCAUUUGCUCACAAUUAUACUAAAUGUGUAUUUUAUGUCACAGUUUUUUUUAAUUUAGAGAAUACUUUAUUAGUUUUUGUAAUCAAACCCACGUAUAUAAGACCUUACAUAUUUAAUACAGUGUGUUACCCCUGUACAAAUGGAAAAAACUUAAGUUCAACAUUUCUAGACCAAUAUGGCUGUUAAUUUCUGUACAGUGCCAACUCAACACAGUAAACGGGGAUACUUUUUUCGAAAGUUGACAGCACAGGUAAAGUUUCAAAAAAUUCAAAUUAUAUAUCUGUAUAUAUAUAUUUAUAUUUAUAUAAAAAGACCAAUAAUAGCAGUGUGUUAUGCAUCAACAGCAGCAACAGCUUUUCCAGGUUCUGCAGUCAUCUGAACAAAACUGUAGAGACAUCCAGCACACUCCAUUAAAA
RNAcentral lists this long non-coding RNA (684 nucleotides) under Rattus norvegicus (Norway rat). RNAcentral's name for it is "long non-coding RNA NONRATT006418". Lineage: Eukaryota; Metazoa; Chordata; Mammalia; Rodentia; Muridae. The record is from RNAcentral.